This is a long non-coding RNA of Ziziphus jujuba (common jujube), 4361 nucleotides long. RefSeq lists it as uncharacterized. The record is from RefSeq and is a predicted model, not a curated record. The transcript has 3 exons. NCBI's taxonomy places the organism in Eukaryota, Viridiplantae, Streptophyta, Magnoliopsida, Rosales, Rhamnaceae.
AUUUUGUAAAAAGAGAGAGCUUUAAUUCUCUUCCUCUCAGUUGUAUUGUCUUGGGUUCACUCUUUCUUUAACCUCCUCUAUUUUAUCGAAGUCUCCAAUUUUAAAUACAUUUUGCAUAUUAUCCAACAAAUUUGGUAUCAUAGCUAUCAUGAACAAGACUCCAUAUGAAGCGUGGCUCAAACAAAAACCCCAGAUGUUAUCUUUGACGAAUCAGCAGCAUGGAAUUGGGAAAGCGCUCCCAAAACAGGAGCAAAAAUAUUUGAAGAAAGUACUGUUCAGGAUAAGUCAAAUUCUCAACCAAGUUGUAACACCCCGUACCAAAAUAUACAUAUUUUAACAGCUUGACCAAGUUUGACUAAGUUUGAUCAAGUUUGACCAAGUGAUCAUAUAUGGGUCCAAGUUGACUUUUUCUAUGAUCAAUAUUUUUUGUUUGACUGAUGUAAUGUUGUAUAGAUCUAGUCGAUACGAGUUCAUAGACUGGUGGCACAUCAAAUUCUGAGUUACGAAUAAAAAGUUAUGGUUCAGAGAAGUUUUCAGCAUAAGUUUUAUAUCAAUGUCCAACCAGUCCCCAGUUUUUGUCUGUUAGUGAGCCUAGGCUCUAAAUAAGCCUUGGUAAGCAUGCCAAAUAGGAAACCAAAUUCCAAAAUACUGUUUCCAGCCCCCAAAACCCGAGAAAUCCUCCCCUAGACCCGUGGGUCCAAAAUGGGUCGUUCCGAUCCGUUUAAUGGUGAACCGGGUCACCGCCGUGUUUGCCCAUUCUGGCCAUGAACUUUUUACAUGCACCCACCAGCGAGAAAUACCACUUUGAAGCAAGCUUGGCCGUGAAAUUUCAUGGAGAACAGCGGCUGGACGGGCCCGGAUCUGGCCGGAGAAGACGGUGCUGGCCAGCUAGGUGGGUCAUUGGAUUUUCACAUUUUUCGACCGUUUCAGGCCAACCUGUAGAUAUUCCCCACCAUUUUUGGACCCUCUGAACUCAUUUCCAUGGUUCUUUUUCCCAAAUUCCUUACCGUUUGGGAGAUACGAUGACGGGAAGUUCAGUCACCGGAGGAAUCUUUGGACCAAGGUGAUCAUACUGUUGGGUUCCUUGUCUCUUGGGCUUUCCAUGGAUAUAAAUUUUAUGAAUUUUGGAGGUUGUUUGAUAAUUUUUCCAUUUUUAUUAUCAGAUAAAUUGGGGCUGCAUUUGGACAGCAUUGGUCAAAUUGGUUAAAAUUGGAGUUGGAUUUGUAAAAUUGGUAUUAUCAGGACCUAUUUAGAGGUUCAAUUUUGAAAGAGUAGGCUUCGGGUGAAAAACUCCAAUUUUGAGUAUCGGAUCCUAAGGACACACGGUAUAAUUGGACUGUCCGGUGUCCAAUUUAUGUAAUUUUAUAGUACUAAAAAUUAAUUUAAGACAUUUGGGUCAUACAAGUGUCUUUAGUUUAGUUAUUUUGAGCUUGAAGAAUAUUUUAUUAUAUUAUAGACACUCCAGUUGAGUCUGGAGGCGAUCCUACAGGGAAGCAAGAGUGAGCAUCUGCAGUACUGUGAGUGGUUAUUAUUUUUAAAAUGUUUUGGGUAUAUAGAAUAAUAUAUAUAUGUGGUUGGAUAUUUUACGUAUAUACAAAUUGAUUGAAAGGAUUGCUUUCUGCAUAUAUAAAUCUGCUUUCACUUAUAUGAGUUAUCAUUUUAUGUGGAAUUUAGUAAUGUUUUUAUUGAUUUUUAAUUUUUAUGAGUUCAUAGUGAACUUGUGAAUUAUGUUAAUUAAAUAUUCUGUUAUUUGAAUUGAGAUUUUAAAUUAUUUUGGAAAAUAAUUGAUUUGAGAAAUAGAUUGAAAAUUUAUAUGAUUUUAAGCAUGCUCAAAUAUUUUGUAAAUUUUUAGAUGGUUAAAAUCAAUUUAUGGUGAAUACAUUUUACUGUGGUAUUUUUGGUUUUCGCAUGAAUGGAUGAUUUGAAAAUUUUGACAUAUUUAAAUAGGCAGUGGAAUUUAAAUAUUAAAUAAUGAUUUAUGAUACAAUAUCGUUUGAGAAAAAUAUAUAUGAUUUUACAAAAGUAUUUUAGGGAUACCAUAUUCAUUAUUUUUAAAUUGAUGUACCAUGUAGUGCCAAUAUCUUGGAUCAGUAUUAUAUUAUAUUAUAUUACAGCAUGCUGGAUUUUGCCACGGUACCAUGAGAUUGGGCUCAGCCCAUAAGAUAUUAUUGCCACGGACCGUUAGGUUGGGAUGAUCCCACAAGUUAAUAUUUUCAUGGUACCAUGAGGUUGGGUUCAACCUACAAGAUAUUAUUACCACGGACCAUGAGGUUAGAUUUAUUCCACAGGUUAUUAUUGUCACAAUACCGUGAGGUCAGGCGUAACCUACAGGAUAUUUAUUGCCACAGACUGUGAGGUUGGGUACGUUCUGACGGUUAUUUAUUUCCACGAUGCCUUUCGUAUAUUGAGGGUCGUGAGGUGGGUAUAUCCCACGGUUUACAGUUUGGUACACCGAAUGGUACAUUGUAUAUGUUUUGAAUACAUUGUUGAUUUUCAAAUAAGGUGGAUUUACUGCACUUUCAUAAACAUUUUGUGGAACUGCGUUUAUAAUAUUUACGCUAAAUGUUUAUAUUUUGAUUAAGGCAUUUUGUAAUAUUAUAUUAUUGUUUAUUUUAUAUAUUUUGAGCAUCCAUUUCAUGAUUAUAAUUUUGGGGUACAAAUUCGGGUUUUGUGAACUGAUUUUAAAAGGGGAACUUUUCGAAAGAGUGAAACGAGAGGUCUUGAGUGAAAGAUUUUUAUAGAAAUAAAUUAAUAUUUUUCUAUUAUACUCUACCACUCACUGAGAUUUCUUUAUCUCACGUUUUAUUUGUCUUAAAUUUGUUCUCCUAGGUCCAGGUAGUUAGUAGUAGUUUACCUCGCGCACCUCUUGUUACUUCGUUUCCUUCCACGAUAGCAGCAGUAUUAUCUUUUCUUUAUCUUACCUUUAUCUUUUCCGACAUCGUUUAUUUCUUAUUUGUACUUCUAAACUUUGUUAACAACCUUAGAAUGCUCUGAUUUAAAUAUUGGACUCAGUAGAGACCAUAUUUCUUAUGGGUGUAGUUAUGGCUUAUGGUACAAUAGGUCAGUUGUGGACUUUGUGCUGUUUUGGAUUUAUUUAUAUUUAUAUAUUGAGGUAUUAUUAGUAAUGCAUGUGUUAUUUGUCCAUGUUUUAAGGUGAGGUUCCAUUGGAUAUUCCCUAGGAAUUGUCCGGUGGAACUUCACUAGGCGGGACCACUCGGAAGAUCCUGGGAGGGUUCCUGGGGUGGGUCCUAUCAAAGUCAAGACCCUGGUCCAAGCACAAGUCAAGAAACUCCAAGCCCAAUCCAAAGAAUGGAUAUAUCUUCAGAUGAUGAAUCAUUUCCAAGAAAGGUAUGCUCACUUGUAGAUAUCUAUGAAUCUACUAAUAUGGCAUUUUUGGCAUGUAAGCCCUAAAAUUUUGAAGAAGCAGUAAAUUUGGAUUAAAGCAAUGGAUGAAGAAAUUGCAACAAUUGAAAAAAAUGAUACAUGGGUACUGGUAGAUCUACCUGAAGGUAAAGAUGUUAUUGGACUUAAAUGGAUCUACAAACCCAAGUACAAAGAAAAUGGAGCAAUUCUAAAGUACGAAGCACGGCUAGUCGCCAAAGGCUAUUCGCAACAGCCAGGAAUCAUGGAGCUCUUCUUGAGUAUUCAUGUCUUGGAUAAAAUGCAUGCUCAUGGUAGUGGUCCUCGAGUCAUCCUAAACAGACAAUGGAGGGGACAGCUCAAAAUGGAGGUGUUUGAUAUUUCCUAUAUAUAAAUAUCUUAGCUGCUUCAACUUCAAACAAUGUUAAAUUGUAUGCUAUAACUGAUGUGAUUCCGCCCGAGGCCGCUCAACCGAUAACCCGCUGGGGUGCUGACUCGACACGGAUGAAGACUAGGCCAAUCACAAGAGCUCAAAUUAAGAGAUUUAAGGACAACCUGGGAGUAUUUAUACAGGAUAUAAUCAAUCUCAACAGAGCUUGUCCAUACUUGAAGAUACAAAGCCUAUUCUAAGCAUCCAAGUGGUGGAAGCCGAUAAGGACCCAGGUGACGGUUUUGGUACAUUUUUGGAGUCCGGGAAGUAUGAAAUGGUUCCAAUGAUUUAUGGGUUCAAUACAUAUGCCUAAGAGGUCAUGGAAUCAAGUUAAAGCAGCCUCAAAUGCAAUCAAAAAGGGCUUGUACAGACAGCAUCAACAAUUUGGCCGAAUUUGCUGUAUUGCUUGCUGGCUUUACUGUAUUUUACUAUAUUAGCCUUUUCUUAUUUUUCCAAGCAUGGGCAACGUGUGGGACUUCAUAUUCAGCUUAUUUGGCAUCCUAAAAAGCAUCUAGAAGCUGAUUUGAAGCUCAAAGAGGUCAAAGAUUGAUCAAAUUCAACUUGAUAAAAA